GAAAUGCGAUACGUAAUGUGAAUUGCAGAUUUCAGUGAAUCAUCGAAUCUUUGAACGCAUGUGGCGCUCCGGGGCAUGCCUCGGAGCAUGCCUGUUCGAGCAUCGACACAUUUAUCAACACUUCGCACAAUGCGGUUUCGGCUGCGUUGUGCGAGGCGUCGGCCGCUGUCCGUUGGAGCGCGCUCGCGUGCUCCAUCGGUGACUAAAGCUAUUCCCUGGUGCUUAACGUGCCUUUCAUCGUGCUUUGCAGAUUCGCUGUGGUAGCUGGCGCCUGUCGUCAAAUGCUCGGUGGAACUGCGAGGCCGCUUCAGACCGCGAUGGAGGGGUGGUUGAGAGAACACCGCUGGGUCACCCGAUUUUUUCUACAAAAAAUCCACACACGAUCUCGAAUCAGGUAAGGCUACCCGCUGAAUUUAAGC
This 419-nucleotide unclassified non-coding RNA is filed under the name plant metagenome. RNAcentral's name for it is "partial contains 5.8S ribosomal RNA, internal transcribed spacer 2, and large subunit ribosomal RNA". The stretch from base 1 to 105 matches the Rfam family "5.8S ribosomal RNA", at positions 50 to 154 of the family's 154-position model. The record is from RNAcentral.